Molecule: long non-coding RNA, 173 nt
Organism: Octopus sinensis (East Asian common octopus)
Lineage: Eukaryota; Metazoa; Mollusca; Cephalopoda; Octopoda; Octopodidae
Exons: 3
Source: RefSeq, a predicted model, not a curated record
AGACGUGUGUCUUCCGUUAUCUAGGGUGCGUGCGGCCCCGGACAUCUAAGGGCAUCACAGACCUGGUAUCGCUCCGCCUCGUGCGGCUUUCUGCCGCCUGUCCCUCUAAGAAGCGCUGCGUUCGCCAACCGACUGGCCCGGACGCGACGGCGUGCCGCCGCCGGGCUCGCGCG